GUUUGAUCCUGGCUCAGGAUGAACGCUUAGCGGCAGGCUUAACACAUGCAAGUCGAGGGGUAACGAUAGUGCUUGCACUAGGCGACGACCGGCGCACGGGUGAGUAACACGUAUGCAACCUACCUUUAACAGGGAGAUAGCCCAGAGAAAUUUGGAUUAAUAUCCCAUAAUAUUGUAAAAUGGCAUCAUUUAACAAUAAAAGCUCCGGCGGUUAAAGAUGGGCAUGCGGGACAUUAGCUAGUUGGUAAGGUAACAGCUUACCAAGGCGACGAUGUCUAUGGGGUCUUAAAGGAUGGUCCCACACACUGGUACUGAGACACGGACCAGACUCCUACGGGAGGCAGCAGUGAGGAAUAUUGGUCAAUGGGCGCAAGCCUGAACCAGCCAUGCCGCGUGAAGGAAGACGGCUCUACGAGUUGUAAACUUCUUUUAUAUAGGAAUAAUUGCAUCUACGUGUAGAUGUUUGAAGGUACUAUAUGAAUAAGCAUCGGCUAACUCCGUGCCAGCAGCCGCGGUAAUACGGAGGAUGCAAGCGUUAUCCGGAUUUAUUAGGUUUAAAGGGUGCGUAGGCGGGAUAAUAAGUCAGUGGUGAAAGCCUGCAGCUUAACUGUAGAAUUGCCAUUGAAACUGUUGUUCUUGAGUAUAGAUGAGGUGGGCGGAAUGUGUAAUGUAGCGGUGAAAUGCUUAGAUAUUACACAGAACACCGAUUGCGAAGGCAGCUCACUAAACUAUAACUGACGCUAAUGCACGAAAGCGUGGGGAGCGAACAGGAUUAGAUACCCUGGUAGUCCACGCCGUAAACGAUGAUUACUCGUUGUUCGCGAUACACCGCGAGUGACUGAGCGAAAGCAUUAAGUAAUCCACCUGGGGAGUACGUUGGCAACAAUGAAACUCAAAGGAAUUGACGGGGGCCCGCACAAGCGGAGGAACAUGUGGUUUAAUUCGAUGAUACGCGAGGAACCUUACCUGGGCUUAAAUGUAGCGUGACUUUUCUAGAAAUAGAUUUUCUCUUCGGAGCAAGUUACAAGGUGCUGCAUGGCUGUCGUCAGCUCGUGCCGUGAGGUGUCGGGUUAAGUCCCAUAACGAGCGCAACCCCUAUCGUUAGUUGCUAGCAGGUAAUGCUGAGGACUCUAGCGAGACUGCCACCGUAAGGUGAGAGGAAGGUGGGGAUGACGUCAAGUCAGCACGGCCCUUAUGUCCAGGGCUACACACGUGCUACAAUGGCAGGUACAGAGCGACGCGAGACCGCGAGGUGGAGCAAAUCGCAGAAAGCCUGUCCCAGUACAGAUUGAAGUCUGAAACUCGACUUCAUGAAGGUGGAAUCGCUAGUAAUCGCGCAUCAGCAUGGCGCGGUGAAUACGUUCCCGGGCCUUGUACACACCGCCCGUCACACCACCCGAGUUGGGGGUACCCGAAGUCACUAGUCUAACCUGCAAAGGAGGACG
RNAcentral lists this ribosomal RNA (1445 nucleotides) under uncultured bacterium. Its description in RNAcentral is "bacterial SSU rRNA". It matches the Rfam family "Bacterial small subunit ribosomal RNA". The record is from RNAcentral.